This 468-nucleotide ribosomal RNA is filed under the name uncultured bacterium. RNAcentral describes it as "partial 16S ribosomal RNA". It matches the Rfam family "Bacterial small subunit ribosomal RNA", at positions 28 to 507 of the family's 1533-position model. The record is from RNAcentral.
GAUGAACGCUGGCGGCGUGCUUAACACAUGCAAGUCGAACGGAAAGGCCCAAGCUUGCUUGGGGACUCGAGUGGCGAACGGGUGAGUAACCCGUGGGUGAUCUGCCCUGCACUUCGGGAUAAGCCUGGGAAACUGGGUCUAAUACCGGCUAGGACCACUUCUGGGAUGUUGUUGUGGAAAGGUUUUUCGGUGUGGGAUGAGCUCGCGGGCUAUCAGCUUGUUGGUGGGGUAAUGGCCUACCAAGGAGCCGCCGGGUAGCCGGCCUGAGAGGGUGUACGGCAACAUUUGGACGGAGAUACGGCCCAGACUCCUACGGGAGGCAGCAGUGGGGAAUAUUGCACAAUGGGCGCAAGACUGAUGCAGCGACGCCGCGUGGGGGAUGACGGCCUUCGGGUUGUAAACUCCUUUCGCGAGGGACGAAGCGUUUUUGUGACGGUACCUGGAGAAGAAGCACCGGCUAACUACGUG